GAGUGGACGCAUCACUGGUGUUCGGGUUGUCAUGCCAAUGGCACUGCCCGGUAGCUAAAUGCGGAAGAGAUAAGUGCUGAAAGCAUCUAAGCACGAAACUUGCCCCGAGAUGAGUUCUCCCUGAGACUUUGAGUCUCCUGAAGGAACGUUGAAGACGACGACGUUGAUAGGUCGGGUGUGUAAGCGCAGCGAUGCGUUGAGCUAACCGAUACUAAUGAACCGUGAGGCUUAACCUUACAACGCCGAAGGUGUUU
RNAcentral lists this ribosomal RNA (254 nucleotides) under Enterobacter cloacae. RNAcentral's name for it is "partial 23S ribosomal RNA". It matches the Rfam family "Bacterial large subunit ribosomal RNA", at positions 2695 to 2925 of the family's 2925-position model. Lineage: Bacteria; Pseudomonadati; Pseudomonadota; Gammaproteobacteria; Enterobacterales; Enterobacteriaceae. The record is from RNAcentral.